RNAcentral lists this ribosomal RNA (448 nucleotides) under uncultured bacterium. RNAcentral describes it as "bacterial SSU rRNA". It matches the Rfam family "Bacterial small subunit ribosomal RNA", at positions 330 to 792 of the family's 1533-position model. The record is from RNAcentral.
CCCAGACUCCUACGGGAGGCAGCAGUGGGGGAUAUUGCACAAUGGGGGAAACCCUGAUGCAGCGACGCCGCGUGGGUGAAGAAGCGCCUCGGCGCGUAAAGCUCUAUCAGCAGGGAAGAAAGAAAUGACGGUACCUGAAGAAGAAGCCCCGGCUAACUACGUGCCAGCAGCCGCGGUAAUACGUAGGGGGCAAGCGUUAUCCGGAUUUACUGGGUGUAAAGGGGGCGCAGACGGCGAUGCAAGCCAGGAGUGAAAGCCCGGGGCCCAACCCCGGGACUGCUCUUGGAACUGCGUGGCUGGAGUGCAGGAGGGGCAGGCGGAAUUCCUGGUGUAGCGGUGAAAUGCGUAGAUAUCAGGAGGAACACCGGUGGCGAAGGCGGCCUGCUGGACUGCAACUGACGUUGAGGCCCGAAAGCGUGGGGAGCAAACAGGAUUAGAUACCCGGGUA